Etheostoma spectabile (orangethroat darter) is the source of this 191-nucleotide long non-coding RNA. RefSeq lists it as uncharacterized. NCBI's taxonomy places the organism in Eukaryota, Metazoa, Chordata, Actinopteri, Perciformes, Percidae. The record is from RefSeq and is a predicted model, not a curated record. The transcript has 3 exons.
CAGACAGAGACAUCUCACUUCUGUUCCAUGUUUGUUGGGAGUCACACAUGCGCGGUACCUAGGUAAGGACUACUAGCCAGUCAGAAGCAGAGUAUGAGGGUGUGUCCUGACAGUAUCUAGGAGGACUACUAGCCAGUCAGAAGCAGAGUAUGAGGGCACUGACAGUAUCUAGGUAAGGACUACUAGCCAGU